RNAcentral lists this ribosomal RNA (254 nucleotides) under uncultured bacterium. Its description in RNAcentral is "partial 16S ribosomal RNA". It matches the Rfam family "Bacterial small subunit ribosomal RNA", at positions 524 to 776 of the family's 1533-position model. The record is from RNAcentral.
UACGGGGGGAGCAAGCGUUGUUCGGAUUUACUGGGCGUAAAGGGCGCGUAGGCGGUCAGCACAAGUCAGUUGUGAAAUCUCCGGGCUUAACUCGGAAAGGUCAACUGAUACUGUGCGACUAGAGUGCAGAAGGGGCAACUGGAAUUCUCGGUGUAGCGGUGAAAUGCGUAGAUAUCAAGAGGAACACCUGCGGCGAAGGCGGGUUGCUGGGCUGACACUGACGCUGAUGCGCGAAAGCCAGGGGAGCGAACGGG